Molecule: long non-coding RNA, 233 nt
Filed under: Trifolium pratense (red clover)
Lineage: Eukaryota; Viridiplantae; Streptophyta; Magnoliopsida; Fabales; Fabaceae
Description: long non-coding RNA (TPRA_LNC009496)
Source: RNAcentral
ACCAAGUCAUCAACGAAUUUGAUCACAAGCGUUAAAGGUAUAACGCCUCUAGCCAGUCCACACGAACAACAACCUUCAAUGGAGUGCUAGCUCCAAUGGUUUGAAGGGUUAGGAGAAAGGAGGCACAAAAUAAGGAUUAGGGUUUUUCACAAAAACUCUAGAAAGGUGAUUAGGGUUUCUCAAGAGAGGAGAGAACAAAGGCUCAUGAGAAUGAGUAACAAAAGUGUGUAACU